Molecule: long non-coding RNA, 927 nt
Organism: Dicentrarchus labrax (European seabass)
Lineage: Eukaryota; Metazoa; Chordata; Actinopteri; Moronidae
Exons: 4
Source: RefSeq, a predicted model, not a curated record
UCACCUUUUCACUCCACGCCCAGAAACCUGCUGCAAUGAAGGCAGCUCCAGCCAGCUGAAACACAGAACCAACGUUUAGACGGGUCCAAUGACAGACACACACCAGGAGAACAGAGGAGAACAGAACAGAGAAGAAUAGAACAGAACAGAGGAGAACAAGCAGGAACGCAGAUUGAGAAACACAUUUCCUGCUCCAUCAACCGCACAGGAUACCAUGACAUCACUUCCUGUUAACAGAUAACAGGAAACAGCUUUCAGUCUCAAAGAAAACUAGCCUCUGUCUCAUGUCAACAGGUAAAGAGGUGUAAAGAGGUGUAAAGAUGUGUAAACAGGUAAAGAGGUGUAAAGAGGUGUAAACAGGUAAAGAGGUGUAAAGAGGUGUAAACAGGUAAAGAGGUGUAAACAGGUAAAGAGGUGUAAACAGGUGUAAACAGGUGUAAACAGGUAAAGAGGUGUAAACAGGUAAAGAGGUGUAAAGAGGUGUAAACAGGUAAAGAGGUGUAAACAGGUAAAGAGGUGUAAACAGGUGUAAACAGGUAAAGAGGUGUAAACAGGUAAAGAGGUGUAAAGAGGUGUAAACAGGUAAAGAGGUGUAAAGAGGUGUAAACAGGUAAAGAGGUGUAAACAGGUAAAGAGGUGUAAAGAUGUGUAAACAGGUAAAGAGGUGUAAACAGGUAAAGAGGUGUAAACAGGUGUAAACAGGUAAAGAGGUGUAAACAGGUAAAGAGGUGUAAACAGGUAAAGAGGUGUAAACAGGUGUAAACAGGUAAAGAGGUGUAAACAGGUAAAGAGGUGUAAAGAGGUGUAAACAGGUAAAGAGGUGUAAACAGGUAAAGAGGUGUAAACAGGUGUAAACAGGUAAAGAGGUGUAAACAGGUAAAGAGGUGUAAAGAGGUGUAAAGAGGUGUAAACAGGUAACUCACCCAG